GACGAACGCUGGCGGCGUGCUUAACACAUGCAAGUCGAGCGGUAAGGCCCUUUCGGGGGUACACGAGCGGCGAACGGGUGAGUAACACGUGGGUGACCUGCCCUCAGCUCUGGGAUAAGCCUGGGAAACCGGGUCUAAUACUGGAUAUGACUCCAUGACGCAUGUUGUGGGGUGGAAAGCCUUGUGCGGCUGAGGAUGGGCCCGCGGCCUAUCAGCUUGUUGGUGGGGUGANGGCCUACCAAGGCGACGACGGGUAGCCGGCCUGAGAGGGCGACCGGCCACACUGGGACUGAGACACGGCCCAGACUCCUACGGGAGGCAGCAGUGGGGGAAUCUUGCGCAAUGGGCGAAAGCCUGACGCAGCGACGCCGCGUGAGGGAUGACGGCCUGGUU
Molecule: ribosomal RNA, 393 nt
Filed under: uncultured bacterium
Lineage: Bacteria
Description: bacterial SSU rRNA
Rfam family: Bacterial small subunit ribosomal RNA
Source: RNAcentral